This 1041-nucleotide ribosomal RNA is filed under the name Acinetobacter sp. Cantas7. RNAcentral describes it as "bacterial SSU rRNA". It matches the Rfam family "Bacterial small subunit ribosomal RNA", at positions 56 to 1092 of the family's 1533-position model. Lineage: Bacteria; Pseudomonadati; Pseudomonadota; Gammaproteobacteria; Moraxellales; Moraxellaceae. The record is from RNAcentral.
UGCAGUCGAGCGGAGAUGAGGUGCUUGCACCUUAUCUUAGCGGCGGACGGGUGAGUAAUGCUUAGGAAUCUGCCAUUUAGUGGGGGACAACAUCUCGAAAGGGAUGCUAAUACCGCAUACGUCCUACGGGAGAAAGCAGGGGAUCUUCGGACCUUGCGCUAAAUGAUGAGCCUAAGUCGGAUUAGCUAGUUGGUGGGGUAAAGGCCUACCAAGGCGACGAUCUGUAGCGGGUCUGAGAGGAUGAUCCGCCACACUGGGACUGAGACACGGCCCAGACUCCUACGGGAGGCAGCAGUGGGGAAUAUUGGACAAUGGGCGGAAGCCUGAUCCAGCCAUGCCGCGUGUGUGAAGAAGGCCUUUUGGUUGUAAAGCACUUUAAGCGAGGAGGAGGCUACUUAGAUUAAUACUCUAGGAUAGUGGACGUUACUCGCAGAAUAAGCACCGGCUAACUCUGUGCCAGCAGCCGCGGUAAUACAGAGGGUGCGAGCGUUAAUCGGAUUUACUGGGCGUAAAGCGUGCGUAGGCGGCUGAUUAAGUCGGAUGUGAAAUCCCUGAGCUUAACUUAGGAAUUGCAUUCGAUACUGGUCAGCUAGAGUAUGGGAGAGGAUGGUAGAAUUCCAGGUGUAGCGGUGAAAUGCGUAGAGAUCUGGAGGAAUACCGAUGGCGAAGGCAGCCAUCUGGCCUAAUACUGACGCUGAGGUACGAAAGCAUGGGGAGCAAACAGGAUUAGAUACCCUGGUAGUCCAUGCCGUAAACGAUGUCUACUAGCCGUUGGGGCCUUUGAGGCUUUAGUGGCGCAGCUAACGCGAUAAGUAGACCGCCUGGGGAGUACGGUCGCAAGACUAAAACUCAAAUGAAUUGACGGGGGCCCGCACAAGCGGUGGAGCAUGUGGUUUAAUUCGAUGCAACGCGAAGAACCUUACCUGGCCUUGACAUAGUAAGAACUUUCCAGAGAUGGAUUGGUGCCUUCGGGAACUUACAUACAGGUGCUGCAUGGCUGUCGUCAGCUCGUGUNGNGAGAUGUUGGGUUAAGUCCNNCAA